RNAcentral lists this ribosomal RNA (503 nucleotides) under Salmonella enterica subsp. enterica serovar Heidelberg. RNAcentral describes it as "partial 23S ribosomal RNA". It matches the Rfam family "Bacterial large subunit ribosomal RNA", at positions 17 to 559 of the family's 2925-position model. RNAcentral also lists the same sequence under 1 other name. The record is from RNAcentral. Lineage: Bacteria; Pseudomonadati; Pseudomonadota; Gammaproteobacteria; Enterobacterales; Enterobacteriaceae.
GUACACGGUGGAUGCCCUGGCAGUCAGAGGCGAUGAAGGACGUGCUAAUCUGCGAUAAGCGCCGGUAAGGUGAUAUGAACCGUUAUAACCGGCGAUUUCCGAAUGGGGAAACCCAGUGUGACUCGUCACACUAUCAUUAACUGAAUCCAUAGGUUAAUGAGGCGAACCGGGGGAACUGAAACAUCUAAGUACCCCGAGGAAAAGAAAUCAACCGAGAUUCCCCCAGUAGCGGCGAGCGAACGGGGAGGAGCCCAGAGCCUGAAUCAGCAUGUGUGUUAGUGGAAGCGUCUGGAAAGGCGCGCGAUACAGGGUGACAGCCCCGUACACAAAAGCGCAUGUGCUGUGAGCUCGAUGAGUAGGGCGGGACACGUGGUAUCCUGUCUGAAUAUGGGGGGACCAUCCUCCAAGGCUAAAUACUCCUGACUGACCGAUAGUGAACCAGUACCGUGAGGGAAAGGCGAAAAGAACCCCGGCGAGGGGAGUGAAAAAGAACCUGAAACCGU